AGUAGCGGUGAAAUGCGUAGAUAUCUGGAGGAAUACCAAAGGCGAAGGCAGUCCCCUGGUCCGAUACUGACACUGAGGUACGAAAGCGUGGGGAGCAAACAGGAUUAGAUACCCUGGUAGUCCACGCCCUAAACGAUGUCGAUUAGCCAUUGGAAGGACCCCUUUUCCUUUCAGUGACGUAGCUAACGCGUUAAAUCGACCGCCUGGGAAGUACGACCGCAAGGUUAAAACUCAAAGGAAUUGACGGGGACCUGAACAAGCGGUGAAUGAUGUGGAUUAAUUUGAUGCUACGCGAAGAACCUUACCUACCUUUGACAUGGCCAAAGUUCUACCGAGAGGCGGAAAGUACUCGUAAGAGGAUUGGCGCACAGGUGCUGCAUGGUUGUCGUCAGUUCGUGUCGUGAGAUGUUGGGUUCAGUCCCGCACCGCACCGCAACCCUUAUCUUUAAUUGCUCUUAUUUUAACAGGCACUUUAAAGAAACUGCCAAUGAUAAGUUGGAGGGAGGUGGGGAUCACGUCAAGUCCGCAUGGCCUUUAUAGGUAGGGCUUCACACGUCAUACAAUGGUUAGAACAAAGAGCUGCAAAUUCGUAAGAAGGAGCCAAUCUCACAAACCUAACCUCAGUUCGAAUUGCGGUCUGCAACUCGAGCGCAUGAAGCCGGAAUCGCUAGUAAUCGUGGAUCAGAAUGCCA
RNAcentral lists this ribosomal RNA (692 nucleotides) under uncultured Candidatus Tremblayella sp. RNAcentral describes it as "bacterial SSU rRNA". It matches the Rfam family "Bacterial small subunit ribosomal RNA", at positions 674 to 1359 of the family's 1533-position model. The record is from RNAcentral. Lineage: Bacteria; Pseudomonadati; Pseudomonadota; Betaproteobacteria.